UGGGUAAUCUUUUGAAACUUCAUCGUGAUGGGGAUAGAGCAUUGCAAUUAUUGUUCUUCAACGAGGAAUCCCUAGUAAGCACAAGUCACCAGCUUGUGCUGAUUACGUCCCUGCCCUUUGUACACACCGCCCGUCGCUACUACCGAUUGAAUGACUUUAGUGAGGCCCUCGGAUCGAUAUUUCAUGAACUGGCAACAGUUUUUUUGUUUGUUGAGAAGUUUGGGUCAAAACUUGGGUCAUUUUAAAGGAAAGUAAA
RNAcentral lists this ribosomal RNA (256 nucleotides) under uncultured Glomus. Its description in RNAcentral is "partial 18S ribosomal RNA". It matches the Rfam family "Eukaryotic small subunit ribosomal RNA", at positions 1543 to 1786 of the family's 1831-position model. The record is from RNAcentral. Lineage: Eukaryota; Fungi; Glomeromycota; Glomeromycetes; Glomerales; Glomeraceae.